AGUGAACGCUGGCGGUAGGCCUAACACAUGCAAGUCGAACGACAGCACAGUAAGAGCUUGCUCUUACGGGUGGCGAGUGGCGGACGGGUGAGGAAUACAUCGGAAUCUACUUUUUCGUGGGGGAUAACGUAGGGAAACUUACGCUAAUACCGCAUACGACCUACGGGUGAAAGCAGGGGAUCUUCGGACCUUGCGCGAUUGAAUGAGCCGAUGUCGGAUUAGCUAGUUGGCGGGGUAAAGGCCCACCAAGGCGACGAUCCGUAGCUGGUCUGAGAGGAUGAUCAGCCACUCUGGAACUGAGACACGGUCCAGACUCCUACGGGAGGCAGCAGUGGGGAAUAUUGGACAAUGGGCGCAAGCCUGAUCCAGCCAUACCGCGUGGGUGAAGAAGGCCUUCGGGUUGUAAAGCCCUUUUGUUGGGAAAGAAAAGCAGCAGGUUAAUACCCCGCUGUUCUGACGGUACCCAAAGAAUAAGCACCGGCUAACUUCGUG
Molecule: ribosomal RNA, 492 nt
Filed under: uncultured bacterium
Lineage: Bacteria
Description: partial 16S ribosomal RNA
Rfam family: Bacterial small subunit ribosomal RNA
Source: RNAcentral